Molecule: ribosomal RNA, 440 nt
Filed under: uncultured bacterium
Lineage: Bacteria
Description: bacterial SSU rRNA
Rfam family: Bacterial small subunit ribosomal RNA
Source: RNAcentral
CCUACGGGGGGCAGCAGUGGGGAAUAUUGCACAAUGGGCGCAAGCCUGAUGCAGCGACGCCGCGUGAGCGAUGAAGGCCUUCGGGUCGUAAAGCUCUGUCCUAAGGGAAGAAUAAUGACGGUACCUUAGGAGGAAGCCCCGGCUAACUACGUGCCAGCAGACGCGGUAAUACGUAGGGGGCGAGCGUUAUCCGGAAUCACUGGGCGUAAAGGGUGCGUAGGCGGCCCUGCAAGUCAGGAGUUAAAUCCCUCGGCUCAACCGAGGUCAGCUCUUGAAACCGGAGGGCUUGAGUGCAAGAGAGGAUAGCGGAAUUCAUAGUGCAGCGGUGAAAGUCGUAGAUAUUAGGAGGAACACCAGUGGCUAAGGCGGCUCUCUCGACUGCAACUGACGCUGAGGCACGAAAGAGUGGGGAGCGAACAGGAUUAGAUACCCCAGUAGUC